UUGUGGACUCUAUUAUUCUAAUGAUCUAUGUGUCUGUUUUUAUGCAAAUACCAUACUGUUUUGAUUACUAUUAUUUUAUAGUAUAGUUUGAAAUUUGGGAGUGUGAGCUCUCCAGCCUUGUUAUUCUUUCUCAAGAUUGUUUUGGCUAUUCAGGAUCUUUUGUGGUUCCACACAAAUUUUAGAAUUGUUUGUUCUAUUUCUGUGGAAAAAUACCAUUGGAAUUUUGAUAGGGAUUGCAGUGAAUCUACAGAUUUCAUUUGGUAAGAUGGACAUUUUAACAAUAUUAAUUCUUCCAAUCCAUGAGCACAAAAUAGCUUUCCAUUUAUUAGUGUCUUCUGCAAUUUAUCUCAUCAAUGUCUCAGAGUUUUCCGAGUACAGAUCUUUUACCUCCCUGCUUAAAUUUAUUUCUAGAUAUUUUAGUCUUUUUGAUGCACUUAUAAAUGGGAUUAUUCUCUUAAAUUCUCUUUCUGAUAGUUCAUUGUUAGUAUACAAAAAUGCAGGAAUGGUGUGGAGGGUGGAGUGCUCACCUGCUGACACUUACAGGCUAGAGUAAGGAUAAAAAAACGACAUCCACGCACACCUGCAAUCAGCAAGGCAGAGGGAGAGUGUGAAGAUGGCUCCUGCCUGUGCCUCCGACCCAGAGAGAGUCCCAACAAGCUUCUGCACCUCCAGCAAGUGACUUAAGAUCCAGGACCUGCCUGCCCGUAUUCCCUUCCAGGCUGCCGAAUGCCAAGACCUGCUCCAGACGAAGGCUGCUUUGGCCAACCAAGACUCAUCUGCCCCCAGGGGGUCACAUGGCCAAGCCAGAGGAGACAGCAAGAAGCCAAAUCAACUCUGGGCCAGGUGGAUUCCCCAUUUAAGAGCCAUUGAUGCUUUGCGGUAAAGACCAGAGCGUGGAGAGAGGUGCUGGUGCCGCCCUUUCAGGAGCUACCCCUCCUGCGGUGAGUACAACCAAUUCGUGUACGAACAGAUCAAUUUGCAUGGUAUUAGUUAUUUAUUUUAUAGUAGUUAUUCCCUCAGUCGUGGUAUGCCCUACACCAUUAUUCGCCACUUGCCAAGUGACUUAAGAGCACG
This is a long non-coding RNA of Herpailurus yagouaroundi (jaguarundi), 1074 nucleotides long. RefSeq lists it as uncharacterized. NCBI's taxonomy places the organism in Eukaryota, Metazoa, Chordata, Mammalia, Carnivora, Felidae. The transcript is spliced from 3 exons. The record is from RefSeq and is a predicted model, not a curated record.